CUUCCAGUAGCACCUUAGAGACCAACUAAGUUUGUUAUUAGUAUGAGCUUUUGUGUGCAUGCACACUUCUGAAGAACUUCGUUGGUCUCUAAGGUGCUACUGGAAG
Podarcis lilfordi (Lilford's wall lizard) is the source of this 106-nucleotide non-coding RNA. The record is from the annotation of a GenBank genome assembly. Lineage: Eukaryota; Metazoa; Chordata; Lepidosauria; Squamata; Lacertidae.